Molecule: ribosomal RNA, 759 nt
Filed under: uncultured organism
Description: bacterial SSU rRNA
Rfam family: Bacterial small subunit ribosomal RNA
Source: RNAcentral
CCAGUUUCGAAGCCGGUCUCCUGGACCUAUACUGACGCUGAUGCUCGAAAGCUGGGGGAUCGAACAGGAUUAGAUACCCUGGUAGUCCCAGCCGUAAACGAUGGACACUAGUUGCCGGAGGAGUCAAUCCCUUCGGUGACGAAGCUAACGCAUUAAGUGUCCCGCCUGGGGAGUACGCUCGCAAGGGUGAAACUCAAAGGAAUUGACGGGGGCCCGCACAAGCGGUGGAGCAUGUGCUUUAAUUCGAUGCAACGCGAAGAACCUUACCUGGGUUUGACAUGGGGGUGAAAGUUUCCAGAGAUGGAAGCCUUUCCUUCGGGAACACCCCACACAGGUGCUGCAUGGUUGUCGUCAGCUCGUGUCGUGAGAUGUUGGGUUAAGUCCCGCAACGAGCGCAACCCCUGCCCUUAGUUGCCAUCAGGUAAAGCUGGGAACUCUAAGGGGACAGCUUGGUAUAACCAGGAGGAAGGUGGGGAUGACGUCAAAUCAUCAUGGCUCUUACGCCCAGGGCUAGACACGUGCUACAAUGGCAGGUACAGUGGGAUGCCAGCCUGCGAAGGUGAGCUAAUCCCUUAAAACCUGUCUCAGUCCGGAUUGGAGUCUGCAACUCGACUCCAUGAAGUUGGAAUCGCUAGUAAUCGCGGAUCAGCACGCCGCGGUGAUACGUUCCCGGGCCUGUACACACCGCCCGUCAAGCCAUGAAAGGCGGUAGUACCCGAAGUCGCGUACCCAACCGUAAGGAGGGAAGCGCCGAAGGUA